Molecule: ribosomal RNA, 253 nt
Filed under: uncultured bacterium
Lineage: Bacteria
Description: partial 16S ribosomal RNA
Rfam family: Bacterial small subunit ribosomal RNA
Source: RNAcentral
UACGAAAGGGGCUAGCGUUGUUCGGAAUUACUGGGCGUAAAGCGCACGUAGGCGGCCUUGUAAGAUGGGGGUGAAAUCCCUGGGCUCAACCCAGGAACUGCACUCAUGACUGCAAAGCUCGAGGAUGUGAGAGGUUGGCGGAAUUCCGAGUGUAGAGGUGAAAUUCGUAGAUAUUCGGAAGAACACCUGUGGCGAAGGCGGCCAACUGGCACAUUUCUGACGCUGAGGUGCGAAAGCGUGGGGAGCAAACAGG